CAGCCGCCGCGGUAAUACCCGCAGCCCGAGUGGUGGUCGAUUUUAUUGAGUCUAAAACGUUCGUAGCCGGUCUAGUAAAUCCUUGGGUAAAUCGGGGGGCUUAACCUUCCGAAUUCCGAGGAGACUGCUAGGCUUGGGAUCGGGAGAGGUAAGAGGUACUUCAGGGGUAGGGGUAAAAUCCUGUAAUCCUUGGAGGACCACCGGUGGCGAAGGCGUCUUACUAGAACGAAUCCGACGGUGAGGGACGAAGCCCUAGGUCGCAAACGGGAUUAGAUACCCCGGUAGUCUAGGGUGUAAACGCUGCCGACUUGGUGUUGGGGGCCCUUCGGGGGCAUUCAGUGCCGGAGAGAAGUUGUU
This 357-nucleotide ribosomal RNA is filed under the name uncultured archaeon. RNAcentral's name for it is "bacterial SSU rRNA". It matches the Rfam family "Archaeal small subunit ribosomal RNA", at positions 459 to 816 of the family's 1478-position model. The record is from RNAcentral.